Molecule: long non-coding RNA, 1563 nt
Filed under: Olea europaea (common olive)
Lineage: Eukaryota; Viridiplantae; Streptophyta; Magnoliopsida; Lamiales; Oleaceae
Description: long non-coding RNA (OEUR_LNC013607)
Source: RNAcentral
GAUUUGAUUUGAUGUUAAUAUAUAAUAUGAAUUGUUGUACCAAAUAAUGAAUUUUUAUUAGACAACAUGGUGAUCGAGAGAUCUAACAAAGGGUUGAGAAUUUACUCAGUUUUGUUAUUCAUUCACAGAUAAAUAUUAACAUAGGAUUUGAUUGUAUGUUGCAAGGAAAUAUUAUUGCAAGAUAUAAGUUCAAAGCUGUAGAAUAUGAUUUGAUUAGAUGAUUGGAAAACGGGAUCAGAAGAGGGAUUGGAAAUUGAUUUAUUGGUUUAUAUGGCAUAUAUUGGCGGAGCCUUGAUCUGCUGUCAGUUACUAUGUUUUCCGUUAAUUAGUUAAAUUACGAUCAAAUGUUUCACAGUGGUUAUUGUCCCUAUUAAAUGCUCCCGCCGCGGCCAUUUACAUAUGGAUGCUUAUUUAUUUUCAAACUAUCGUAUUGCAGAUUAGUUUCAUGUGAUUUUUUUUAUUUUUCUUCUUGCAAAGAGGCAUUAAUAUUCUUGAGGAAUAUGUUCUUGCAUCAGAUAAAUUGGAAGUACUGAGAUUUUCAUUCUUUAACACUACUCUGUGACUGAAUGAACUCAAAUCAUAUUUUUAUUACCAAUCCAAUCAUACUCAGUGAGCCUUUCAUUUGUCCUGUUGGUGCAGGAUUAACUUGUACAACAUUUUCCGGAUCAACAAAACUUUUUAAAAUUAAACGACAAUAAUUCUCUAUCUGUAGUGCCCUCAACUCCUACUUUUAACAUAGUUUGCAUUCAAAUUGCUAGCUUCCUACACCGUAAUACUCAACUAGACCAACAGCUUACAUGAUAAAUUAGUGUGGCAGAGGAGACGAUGCAAAUACUUAAAUCCCUCCACGCCACGUUUUUUCAUUAGAUAGAUAUCCUUCUACUGGUAAAUCUCUUAAUAAGUUCUUUAGGGCUUCUAAUGCAACUAGCUAUCUUAUCUGAUAUCAAGUUAUUAAAUCCAUCGGUACCCCAAUUUUAGAACUAUCCUUUUAAGUUGCUUUGGUUUCACCCUUACGGUUCCAUUCUCAUGUUCUAUAACUAUGUUAUUUCUUUACCAACGAUUAAUAACUUAUCAGUCAUCACCAACUUAUGUUGCAUCAUUUGAUUCCCACCGAUGAUGGAGCUGCAUUCUACAUGAUGCAUUUGAAACGAAUUUUCCAGCAAAGGAAUGUACACUUCAUAUGAUAUACCAGUAUCUAUAUCCCACGAGAGUAUACAUUGUUGCUUACUUUUUAACAUAUUUGAACACGAAAGUGUCAUUUCAUUCAUGGGUUACUCCCUAGCUAACCCAUGCACAUUUCAUGAGACCUAUUCAUUUACUAGGACAUGAGACCAACUAAAGAAACACGAACAAAGUUGGACAUGAGACCAACCAAAGGAACACGAACAAAGUUGUUUAAGUUGUCUAAUGGUCUUAAACUUGAUUAUUGGAUUGGCUAAGGUUAAUAUCAAUUUUUUUCUUUUUCAAGUUUAAUAAAUUCAGAUCAUUCGCGUGUUAAGAGGCACGCCUUGUAUGAGGCAUUCAUUAUUGUCAUCGAAGCUUAAGAUUUAGGUUCUCCUUNNN